RNAcentral lists this small RNA (473 nucleotides) under Pan troglodytes (chimpanzee). RNAcentral's name for it is "processed transcript". Lineage: Eukaryota; Metazoa; Chordata; Mammalia; Primates; Hominidae. The record is from RNAcentral.
CCAUCACAAUCUGUUGCUUCUCAAGAUGCCCAGGAAAUAAUCCGCCCACGUCGAUGUAAAUAUUUUGAUACAAAUAGUGAAGUAGAAGAAGAAUCUGAAGAAGAUGAAGAUUAUAUUCCAUCAGAAGACUGGAAAAAGGUAGUUAGAACAAUAUUUUUCCAAAAUUUAGAUAAAUUAAUAUUUUUUUAAAAAGCCUCGUGUAAUUUUUUUUUUUUUUACUAACUAUGUAUAUUGAUAAAAUCGAUGUAAGCCCUUUUAUGACAUUUAAAUGUUUGGUAAAUGUUCAGAUUCCUUCUUAACACAUCUAGGUUAGAUUAGAAAUCUACAUUUCUGGCGGGGUGUGGUGGCUCACACCUGUUAUCCCAGCACUUGGGAGGCUGAGGCAGGCGGAUCGCUUGAGCCCAGGAGUUCGAGACCAGCCUGGGCAGCGUUGCGGGACCCUGUCUCAUUUUAUAAAACAAAACAAAAAAUAA